GACGAACGCUGGCGGCGUGCAUAACACAUGCAAGUCGAACGGAAAGGCCCUGCUUUUGUGGGGUGCUCGAGUGGCGAACGGGUGAGUAACACGUGAGUAACCUGCCCUUGACUUUGGGAUAACUUCAGGAAACUGGGGCUAAUACCGGAUAGGAGCUCCUGCUGCAUGGUGGGGGUUGGAAAGUUUCGGCGGUUGGGGAUGGACUCGCGGCUUAUCAGCUUGUUGGUGGGGUAGUGGCUUACCAAGGCUUUGACGGGUAGCCGGCCUGAGAGGGUGACCGGCCACAUUGGGACUGGGAUACGGCCCAGACUCCUACGGGAGGCAGCAGUGGGGAAUAUUGCACAAUGGGCGGAAGCCUGAUGCAGCAACGCCGCGUGCGGGAUGACGGCCUUCGGGUUGUAAACCGCUUUCGCCUGUGACGAAGCGUGAGGGACGGUAAUGGGUAAAGAAGCACCGGCUAACUACGU
RNAcentral lists this ribosomal RNA (467 nucleotides) under uncultured bacterium. RNAcentral's name for it is "partial 16S ribosomal RNA". It matches the Rfam family "Bacterial small subunit ribosomal RNA", at positions 28 to 506 of the family's 1533-position model. The record is from RNAcentral.